This is a long non-coding RNA of Etheostoma spectabile (orangethroat darter), 434 nucleotides long. RefSeq lists it as uncharacterized. The record is from RefSeq and is a predicted model, not a curated record. The transcript has 3 exons. Lineage: Eukaryota; Metazoa; Chordata; Actinopteri; Perciformes; Percidae.
AAUGAACUGCAGAAACAACAGCUGGAACUUUCAAAGAAUGGAGAAGACACUGUUGUUCAUGCUCACUCUCUCAGGGUUGUCUACUCUGUCUACACACAUCAUCAGAGAGUACCACUAUGUGCCGAGAUUAAUGACCUGGGCUGAAGCUCAGAGUUACUGCAGAAAGACGUUCACUGACCUCUCUACUGUGACCAAUCAAAAGGACAAUAACAUGCUGCUGAGUGUAUUGCAGGGCCCUAUGAAAUACGCAUGGAUAGGGCUUUAUGACGUCAUGUCAGGGUGGAGGUGGACGGUGGGAAAUGCAACCUUUGAGUUCAGUAAUUGGAGCAAGAAUAAUUCUAACAAUGUAAAGUUGAAUAACUCCUGCACUGUGAUGAAUGCAGAUGGGAAUUGGUUUGACAAUAAUUGUAUGGGAUCAUAUCCUGCAGUCUGCU